GCUUAACACAUGCAAGUCGAGGGGCUUCCUGCUCUUAGCUUGCUCAGGCCGAUGGCUACCGGCGGACGGGUGAGUAACGCGUAUCCAACCUGCCUUCUACUCUUGGAGCUCCUUCUGAAUAGAAUAUUAAUACCACAUGGCUUCCUGAUUUCACAUGUUCACAUGAUUAAUGGUCUUCCGGCAGACUAUGGGGAUGCGUUCCAUUAGAUAUUACGCGGGGACACUGCCCACCUAAUCUUCGAUGGAGAUGGGUUCUGAUAGGAAUGUACCCCCACAUUGGAACUGAAACACGAGUCCAACACUCCUACGGGAGGCAGCAGGGAGGAAUAUUGGUCACUGGGCCACAGCCUGAACCAGCCAAGUACCUUGAACGAUGACUGCCCUAUGGGUUGUAAACUUCUUUUAUACAUGAAUAAAGUCGGGUAUGUAUACCCGUUUGCAUGUACUUUAUGAAUAAGGAUCGGCUAACUCCGUGCCAGCAUCCGCGGUAAUACGGAGGAUCCGAGCGUUAUCCGGAUUUAUUGUGUUUAGAGGGAGCGCAGACGGAUGUUUCUUUCAAUUGUGAAAGUCUGCAGCUCAACCGAAGAAUUGCAAUUGAUACUGGAUAUCUUGAGUGCAGUUGAUGCAGGCAGAAUUCGUGGUGUAGCGGUGAACUGCUUAGAUAUCACUAGAAACUCCGAUUGCAAAGCGCGCCUGCUAAGCUGCAUCUGACAUUGAGGCUCGAAAGUGUGAGUAUCAAACAAGAUUAGAUACGCUGGUACUCCACACGGUAGACGAUGAAUACUCGCUGUUUGCCCUAUACUGCAAGCCCGCCAGCCGAAAGCGAUAAGUAUUCCACCUGGGGAGUACGCAGGCAACAGUGAAACUCAAAGGAAUUGAACAGGUACCGCACAAGCGGAGGAACAUGUGGUAUAAUUAGAUGAUACGCGAGGAACCUUACCCGGUCUUAAAUCUCAGAUGAAUUACGAGUGAAAGCUGUAAGCCGCAAGGCAUAUGUGAAGCAUGGUGCAUGGUAGUCGUCAGUCUCGAGCACGUGAGGUGUAGUCUUAAGUGCCAUAACGAGCGCAACCCUAGUUGUCAGUCUACUAACAGGUCUGUCUGAGGAGUCUGACAAGAGAUGCCAUGGUAAGAUGGGAGGAAGGUGGGGAUGUCGUCAAAUCAGCUCGGCCAUUACGUCCGGGGCUACACAAGUGUUACAAUGGGGGGUACAGAGGGUCGUUAGCACGAGAGUGGACGCCAAUCCCCAAAACCUCUCUCAGUUAGGACUGGAGUUUGCAACCAGAAUCCAGGAAGUCUGGAUUAUCUAGUAAUCGCAGCAUCAGCCACGGCGCGGUGAAUACGUUCCCGGACAUUGUACACACCGCCAGUCAAGCCAUGAAAGCCGGGGGUACCUGAAGUAACUAACCGCAAGGAG
Molecule: ribosomal RNA, 1414 nt
Filed under: uncultured organism
Description: 16S ribosomal RNA
Rfam family: Bacterial small subunit ribosomal RNA
Source: RNAcentral